This 548-nucleotide ribosomal RNA is filed under the name uncultured Glomus. RNAcentral's name for it is "SSU rRNA". It matches the Rfam family "Eukaryotic small subunit ribosomal RNA", at positions 548 to 1098 of the family's 1831-position model. Lineage: Eukaryota; Fungi; Glomeromycota; Glomeromycetes; Glomerales; Glomeraceae. The record is from RNAcentral.
UUGGAGGGCAAGUCUGGUGCCAGCAGCCGCGGUAAUUCCAGCUCCAAUAGCGUAUAUUAAAGUUGUUGCAGUUAAAAAGCUCGUAGUUGAAUUUCGGGAUUAGUACGUCGGUCGUGCCUUAGGUACGUACUGGUGUUACUGGUUCCUACCUUCUGACGAACCAUCAUGUCAUUAAUUUGGUGUGGUGGGGAAUCAGGACUGUUACUUUGAAAAAAUUAGAGUGUUUAAAGCAGGCUCGCGCUUGAAUACAUUAGCAUGGAAUAAUGAAAUAGGACGUUGAUCCUAUUUUGUUGGUUUCUAGGAUUGACGUAAUGAUUAAUAGGGAUAGUUGGGGGCAUUAGUAUUCAAUUGUCAGAGGUGAAAUUCUUGGAUUUAUUGAAGACUAACUACUGCGAAAGCAUUUGCCAAGGAUGUUUUCAUUAAUCAAGAACGAAAGUUAGGGGAUCGAAGGCGAUCAGAUACCGUCGUAGUCUUAACCAUAAACUAUGCCGACUAGGGAUCGGAUGAUGUUAAUUUUUUAAUGACUCAUUCGGCGCCUUACGGGAAAC